AUACGGAGGGUCCAAGCGUUAUCCGGAAUCAUUGGGUUUAAAGGGUCCGCAGGCGAUCAAUUAAGUCAGAGGUGAAAGCCCAUCGCUCAACGAUGGAACUGCCUUUGAUACUGGUUGACUUGAGUUAUACGGAAGUGGAUAGAAUAAGUAGUGUAGCGGUGAAAUGCAUAGAUAUUACUUAGAAUACCGAUUGCGAAGGCAGUCUACUACGUAUAUACUGACGCUGAGGGACGAAAGCGUGGGGAGCGAACAGGAUUAGAAACCCCAGUAGUCC
Molecule: ribosomal RNA, 274 nt
Filed under: uncultured bacterium
Lineage: Bacteria
Description: partial 16S ribosomal RNA
Rfam family: Bacterial small subunit ribosomal RNA
Source: RNAcentral